CCUACGGGAGGCGGCAGUGGGGAAUAUUGGACAAUGGGCGAAAGCCUGAUCCAGCAAUGCCGCGUGAGUGAUGAAGGCCUUAGGGUUGUAAAGCUCUUUUACCAGGGAUGAUAAUGACAGUACCUGGAGAAUAAGCUCCGGCUAACUCCGUGCCAGCAGCCGCGGUAAUACGGAGGGAGCUAGCGUUGUUCGGAAUUACUGGGCGUAAAGCGUACGUAGGCGGUUAUUCAAGUCAGAGGUGAAAGCCCGGGGCUCAACCCCGGAACUGCCUUUGAAACUAGAUAGCUAGAAUCUUGGAGAGGUUAGUGGAAUUCCGAGUGUAGAGGUGAAAUUCGUAGAUAUUCGGAAGAGCACCAGUGGCGAAGGCGACUAACUGGACAAGUAUUGACGCUGAGGUACGAAAGCGUGGGGAGCAAACAGGAUUAGAUACCCUGGUAGUCCACGCCGUAAACGAUGAUAACUAGUUGUUCGGGUCACUUGGUGCCUGAGUGACGCAGCUAACGCAUUAAGUUAUCCGCCUGGGGAGUACGGUCGCAAGNUUAAAACUCAAAUGAAUUGACGGCUGAGACGNGCGAGACGACACGAGGGAGAGG
Molecule: ribosomal RNA, 593 nt
Filed under: uncultured bacterium
Lineage: Bacteria
Description: bacterial SSU rRNA
Rfam family: Bacterial small subunit ribosomal RNA
Source: RNAcentral